UACGGAGGGUGCGAGCGUUGUCCGGAAUCACUGGGCGUAAAGGGCGCGUAGGCGGCUUCUUAAGCGGGCGGUGAAAGCCCGGGGCUCAACCCUUGAAUGCCGGUGGAUACUGUCGGGCUAGAGUCCGGAAGAGGCGAGUGGAAUUCCUGGUGUAGCGGUGAAAUGCGCAGAUAUCGGGAGGAACACCAGUAGCGAAGGCGGCUCGCUGGGCCACACCUGACGCUGAGACGCGAAAGCUAGGGGAGCGAACAGG
Molecule: ribosomal RNA, 253 nt
Filed under: uncultured bacterium
Lineage: Bacteria
Description: partial 16S ribosomal RNA
Rfam family: Bacterial small subunit ribosomal RNA
Source: RNAcentral